RNAcentral lists this ribosomal RNA (493 nucleotides) under uncultured bacterium. Its description in RNAcentral is "partial 16S ribosomal RNA". It matches the Rfam family "Bacterial small subunit ribosomal RNA", at positions 31 to 506 of the family's 1533-position model. The record is from RNAcentral.
GAACGCUGGCGGCGUGCCUAAUACAUGCAAGUCGAGCGAACGGACGAGAAGCUUGCUUCUCUGAUGUUAGCGGCGGACGGGUGAGUAACACGUGGAUAACCUACCUAUAAGACUGGGAUAACUUCGGGAAACCGGAGCUAAUACCGGAUAAUAUUUUGAACCGCAUGGUUCAAAAGUGAAAGACGGUCUUGCUGUCACUUAUAGAUGGAUCCGCGCUGCAUUAGCUAGUUGGUAAGGUAACGGCUUACCAAGGCAACGAUGCAUAGCCGACCUGAGAGGGUGAUCGGCCACACUGGAACUGAGACACGGUCCAGACUCCUACGGGAGGCAGCAGUAGGGAAUCUUCCGCAAUGGGCGAAAGCCUGACGGAGCAACGCCGCGUGAGUGAUGAAGGUCUUCGGAUCGUAAAACUCUGUUAUUAGGGAAGAACAUAUGUGUAAGUAACUGUGCACAUCUUGACGGUACCUAAUCAGAAAGCCACGGCUAACUACGU